CCGGCAUGGGGCCCCCUGCCACCCCCUCAGCGGCCAGUGUGUCUGCCCCUCCGGCUUCUCCGGCCAACUCUGUGAGAGGGGGUGUGAACCAGGCGCGUUUGGAGAGGGCUGCCGCCAGCGCUGUGACUGCGAGGCAGGGGCACCUUGCGACCCCAUCACCGGCCAGUGCCUGUGUCCCCCGGGGCGCACAGGGGCCGCUUGUGACCUCGCGGCCUCACACCCAGCUUCUCACGGACCAGCACUUGGGCUCAGCAGCAGGGCAGAGAAACACUAGCUCAGAGGCAGCCCCCAAGCAGGCCCGUCUUCCAGGCGCUUUGGUGUGACCGAG
This 328-nucleotide long non-coding RNA is filed under the name Ursus maritimus (polar bear). RNAcentral describes it as "lncRNA (ENSUMAG00000010721.1)". The record is from RNAcentral. Lineage: Eukaryota; Metazoa; Chordata; Mammalia; Carnivora; Ursidae.